AAUGAUGAAUGUCAUAGAUUAGACAUAUAAUAGUUUAUUCUAUAAAUGAAAGUGUAAGCAUUCCACCUCAAGAGUAAUUUGGCAACAUUGGAACUGAAAUCAUUAGACCGUUUCUGAAACCAGUAGUGAAGUAUGUUGUUUAAUUUGAUAAUCCGCAAAAAACCUUACCACAAUUUGAAUAUUUAUAUCAUUUUUCUGAUCUAUUCAAUGAAAAGAAAAAAAUGUAUUUACAAGCGUUGCACGGCUGUCUUCAGUUAAUGUCGUGAGACUUUGGUUAGUUCCAUUAAAUUAACGUAAACCCUCACUUUAUUUUUAUAUAAAGUAGUUCCCCACUAAAUUGGAUAAGAUAACAGGGACUAAGACAAGUCAUCAUGGCCUGAAUAUUGU
RNAcentral lists this ribosomal RNA (387 nucleotides) under Lecanora chlarotera. Its description in RNAcentral is "SSU rRNA". It matches the Rfam family "Bacterial small subunit ribosomal RNA", at positions 805 to 1210 of the family's 1533-position model. The record is from RNAcentral. Lineage: Eukaryota; Fungi; Ascomycota; Lecanoromycetes; Lecanorales; Lecanoraceae.